Molecule: ribosomal RNA, 429 nt
Filed under: uncultured bacterium
Lineage: Bacteria
Description: bacterial SSU rRNA
Rfam family: Bacterial small subunit ribosomal RNA
Source: RNAcentral
UGGGGAAUAUUGGACAAUGGGGGAAACCCUGAUCCAGCGACGCCGCGUGGGUGAAGAAGGCCUGCGGGUUGUAAAGCCCUUUCGUUGGGGAAGAAAUGUUUCAACCUAAUACGUUGGAAUCUUGACGUUACCCAAAGAAGAAGCACCGGCUAACUCUGUGCCAGCAGCCGCGGUAAUACAGAGGGUGCGAGCGUUAAUCGGAAUUACUGGGCGUAAAGCGUGCGUAGGCGGUACAGUCAGUCAGAUGUGAAAUCCCUGGGCUUAACCUAGGAACUGCAUUUGAUACUGCUGAACUAGAGUAUGGUAGAGGGAGGUGGAAUUCCUCGUGUAGCGGUGAAAUGCGUAGAGAUGAGGAGGAACACCAGUGGCGAAGGCGGCCACCUGGACAGUAACUGACGCUGAGGCGCGAAAGUGUGGGUAGCAAACAGG